RNAcentral lists this ribosomal RNA (459 nucleotides) under uncultured bacterium. Its description in RNAcentral is "partial 16S ribosomal RNA". It matches the Rfam family "Bacterial small subunit ribosomal RNA", at positions 338 to 795 of the family's 1533-position model. The record is from RNAcentral.
CCUACGGGAGGCUGCAGUGAGGAAUAUUGGUCAAUGGGCGGAAGCCUGAACCAGCCAAGUAGCGUGCGGGAUGAAGGCCCUACGGGUCGUAAACCGCUUUUGCACGGGGAUAACACCCUCCACUUGUGGAGGUCUGCAGGUACCGUGCGAAUAAGGGCCGGCUAAUUCCGUGCCAGCAGCCGCGGUAAUACGGAAGGCCCGAGCGUUAUCCGGAUUCAUUGGGCUAAAAGGGAGCGUAGGCGGUCGUUCAAGUCAGCUGUAAAAGCGCGCGGCUCAACCGCGCCCCGCAGUUGAAACUGGACGCCUUGAGUUCACAACAGGCAGGCGGAAUUCGUGGUGUAGCGGUGAAAUGCAUAGAUAUCACGAGGAACCCCGAUUGCGAAGGCAGCCUGCCGGGGUGCGACUGACGCUGAGGCUCGAAGGUGCGGGUAUCAAACAGGAUUAGAUACCCUGGUAGUC